AUGUUCUAACGUUGGCCCCUAAUCGGGGUUGCGGACAGUGCCUGGUGGGUAGUUUGACUGGGGCGGUCUCCUCCCAAAGAGUAACGGAGGAGCACGAAGGUGGGCUAAUCACGGUUGGACAUCGUGAGGUUAGUGCAAUGGCAUAAGCCCGCUUAACUGCGAGAAUGACGGUUCGAGCAGGUGCGAAAGCAGGUCAUAGUGAUCCGGUGGUUCUGAAUGGAAGGGCCAUCGCUCAACGGAUAAAAGGUACUCCGGGGAUAACAGGCUGAUACCGCCCAAGAGUUCAUAUCGACGGCGGUGUUUGGCACCUCGAUGUCGGCUCAUCACAUCCUGGGGCUGAAGUCGGUCCCAAGGGUAUGGCUGUUCGCCAUUUAAAGUGGUACGCGAGCUGGGUUUAGAACGUCGUGAGACAGUUCGGUCCCUAUCUGCCGUGGGCGUUGGAAGAUUGAAGGGGGCUGCUCCUAGUACGAGAGGACCGGAGUGGACGAACCUCUGGUGUUCGGGUUGUGUCGCCAGACGCAUUGCCCGGUAGCUAAGUUCGGAAUCGAUAACCGCUGAAAGCAUCUAAGCGGGAAGCGAGCCCUGAGAUGAGUCUUCCCUGAUACUUUAAGUAUCCU
Molecule: ribosomal RNA, 617 nt
Filed under: Vibrio vulnificus
Lineage: Bacteria; Pseudomonadati; Pseudomonadota; Gammaproteobacteria; Vibrionales; Vibrionaceae
Description: partial 23S ribosomal RNA
Rfam family: Bacterial large subunit ribosomal RNA
Source: RNAcentral